This 201-nucleotide long non-coding RNA is filed under the name Brassica napus (rape). RNAcentral's name for it is "long non-coding RNA (BNAP_LNC009689)". Lineage: Eukaryota; Viridiplantae; Streptophyta; Magnoliopsida; Brassicales; Brassicaceae. The record is from RNAcentral.
UUUGAGCUGUCGGAUAGCAUGAAUUGCCUUAUGCAACAUCUUCUCCAAACUAGCAUAAGUUUGAAGAUCGUUUUGAUCAAGCACUACACGAUUGCUUAUCUUGGCUUUGGUGAAGGGACGAUCACCACUUCUGACCCACUUCUCAUCAUUGGACUUGUUUUCUCUCUUCCUUUGUUUCUGCACAAAAUCAAAUUCAUUAGA